Molecule: RNA transcript, 5188 nt
Organism: Ficedula albicollis (Collared flycatcher)
Lineage: Eukaryota; Metazoa; Chordata; Aves; Passeriformes; Muscicapidae
Gene: CSRNP3
Gene name: cysteine and serine rich nuclear protein 3
Exons: 7
Source: RefSeq, a predicted model, not a curated record
CUCAGGUGAGGAGCCGCAAGCGCAGUGCGCGUUUGCCAGCGCGGGGCGGCGGUGGAGCCCGGCGGCCCCGCUGCCAGCCCGGGAGGUCUGGGUGAGGAGAACGAACCCCGCCGCCGUCUGCGUUCGAGUCACGCAGAGAGAGCGGCUGUCCCCCGCCGCGCUGGAUCCUCGCCUGUCUCUCCUGGUUGGUGACUCCUGAGGCGCGGAGGGAUGCGAGGUGCAUGGUGACAGCAUUGCAGCAAUGAGUGGAAUUUUAAAGAGGAAGUUUGAAGAAGUUGGUGGAACCUCACCCUGUUCAUGUGUGUGGGAAUCAGAUGACGAUGUUUCUAGCAGUGAAAGUGCUGAUAGUGGAAGUAAUGUCCAUCCAUCUGCUUCUAAUCAUUUUACUCGUACAUGUGACAGCAUUGCAGCAAUGAGUGGAAUUUUAAAGAGGAAGUUUGAAGAAGUUGAUGGCUCCUCACCUUGUUCCUCUGUGAGAGAAUCAGAUGAUGACAUUUCUAGCAGUGAAAGUGCUGACAGUGGUGAUAGUGUCAAUCCUUCCACUUCUAAUCAUUUUACCCCAUCUUCAAUCCUGAAGAGAGAGAAGCGGAAGAGAACAAAGAAUGUCCAUUUCAACUGUGUUACUGUGUAUUACUUCACGAGAAGACAAGGCUUCACCAGUGUUCCCAGCCAAGGGGGGAGCACCCUGGGCAUGUCCACUCGCCACAACAGUGUGCGCCAGUAUACCCUGGGGGAGUUCGCCAUGGAGCAGGAGAGGCUUCACCGAGAGAUGUUGAGAGAGCAUCUAAGGGAGGAAAAACUCAAUUCUCUAAAACUAAAGAUGACAAAGAACGGUACGGUGGAAUCUGAGGAAGCCAAUACACUGACUCUGGAUGACAUUUCUGAUGAUGACAUUGAUCUAGACAACACUGAAGUAGAUGAGUACUUCUUUCUCCAACCCCUGCCUACAAAAAAGCGGCGCGCAUUGCUGCGAGCUUCUGGAGUGAAGAAGAUCGACGUGGAAGAAAAGCACGAGCUGCGAGCCAUCCGCCUGUCCAGAGAGGAUUGUGGCUGUGACUGCCGUGUCUUCUGUGACCCAGAAACUUGCACCUGCAGUCUUGCAGGCAUAAAAUGUCAGGUGGAUCGUAUGUCUUUUCCAUGCGGUUGCACUAAAGAAGGGUGUAGCAAUACAGCAGGUAGAAUCGAAUUUAACCCUAUCCGUGUACGGACUCACUUUUUGCACACGAUAAUGAAACUUGAAUUGGAGAAAAAUAGAGAGCAGCAAGUUCCAGCACUCAAUGGCUGUCACACUGAGAUGAGUGCACACAGUAGUUCCAUGAGUCCAGGACCCCAUCCAGUUGAAUAUUCGAUUGCAGAAAAUUUUGAGAUUGAAACUGAACCCCCAGCUACAGUUAUGCAUUCCCAGUCAGCCGAGGACUUGGACUGCCCAGGGGAAGAGGAGGAAGAGGAAGAUGGGAGUAGCUUUUGUAGUGGAGUUACAGAUUCUAGUACACAGAGUUUAGCCCCUAGUGAAUCAGAUGAUGAUGAAGAGGAGGAGGAAGAUGAGGAGGAAGAUGAGGAGGAAGAAAAAGCAGAUGAUUUUGUAGAAAGUAUGAGCUCCCAUGCUGAUAUGGUGCCUCUUCCUUCUGUCCUUUGCUACUCUGAUGGAACUGCUGUGCAUGAAAACCACUCUAAAAAUGCCUCAUACUAUACUAACUCUUCAACUCUGUAUUACCAAAUAGAGAACCACGUUGCUGGCACUGCUAACCAGAUUGGUGAGACUUACUCAGAAAGGGAUGCUGUCAAGAAUGGUAGUCUUUCUCUGGUGCCUUACAACAUGACUUCAGAACAGUUUGUUGACUACACACGGCAAUCAGAGGAAACUUUCAGCAGCCCUCAUUACCCUUCUGCAAAUCCCUCAGUGAUUGUUUGCUGCUCAUCUUCUGAAGGGGAUGGCAGUGCUCCCUGUAACAGUUUAUACACUGAGCAUAGGCCGAGUCACCCGCCAGUGGAAUUUCACUCAUACUUGAAAGGUCCUUCUCACGAUGGCUUUGUUUCAGCUUUGAAUGGUGACAGUCAUGUGCAAGAACACCCUGCAGAGAAUUCACUAAACCUCCCAGAAAAAAGCAGACUGCACGAAGAGUGCAUCAAAUCACCAGUGGUAGAGACGGUGCCUGUUUAAUAUUAAAAUUAAUUUAGGACUGACUUUCUGUGUUAAAAUUCACUCCCAUUGGAUUUUCCUAGAAACUUACUUUUGUAAGAGAUAGAAAACACUUGGAUUAUAGUCAAUGUUCCAGACACAUUUUGUUUUCUCAAGCUACACUGGCAGUGGUAUUGCACAAAACCAGUUCAUGUAAAGAUUUAAAUUAAAAUAAUCAAGCCCUUUUUUUGAUAAAAAUAAAACAGAUAAGUAAAAAACACACCCAACAUAUUUCAAAGUAGCCUACCUAUGAAUGUGUGUGAAACCUGCCAAGCUAUCUGAAUCAAAGCUUCAUGUUCUUGACUGUCGGGCCUGUGCAAGAUUGUUAAAAAUGAUACUUUGAAAUAAUCAUGUUUAGAGUCCUAAUUUUCAACAUAUUUGAAAAUAUGGUAAGUUUAAUGUAAAAGUAACUGCUGUACAAAGAAAAAGUUUUAAUUGUUCUGUACUGUAUGUAUUUUAUUUAUGGUAGUUUAAGAUUCAUGUUUUGAUAAAAAUGAACAGCAUGUUCAUUUGAGCAGAAGAUCCAUAACUACUUAUGAAGAGCAUGUCCACUUUUAAUCUGGAGUACCCUGUAUUCUUCCUAAUUUUUUCUUAAUACCAUUUCUGAUAAAUCAUCUUGAAACACAUUUUUAGAGUGUACUAUUUUCUCUUUUACUGUUCUUCACAAACAGAGGAGUCAAACAGGGGGCAUUUGCAUCUUCUAGAAUAGAGAAAGGUAGACAAUCCUCCAUUUAAAACUAAAAUGAGUGGCAUUUCAGAACUAGUACCCCCUACCCAAAGAAAAACCAUUUUGUAUAUAAUGGCAAAGCAGUAGCUUAAGCUCACACAGCACCUUCAGCCCAGCCACCGUUCAGAUACUUUUGCACUUUAGUGCCCCUCUGCAGUACUGCAGGACCUGUGAACCUCUUGGAGAAAUGCCAUAGCUCCACACCCUGAGGCAAUGUAAGAUCUUACAAUUCACCGUAACAAAACCUGUACAUUUUUCCCAAGCCAGUUUAUGAAUAUGUCAGUGUGCAAUUUAUCAAAGCAGAGCCUUACUGAUCAAAGUUUAAAUAAAGCAUGUAAAAAAUGUGGAAGUGUAUAGAUUGCCUAAAUUUUUAUUAAAUACCAGACUGGCUUAUGGGACUUCUGAUUGUAUCUCAAAUAUAGUACCAUCUGGUCAUACUCAGAAGCAAUCCAUUCACUGAGAAAAAAUAGCUUCAGAAAUUUUGUAUCUGCAAAAGUCUGCAAGCAAAAGAACAUGUGCAUCAUAUGGAUAUUCAUUACCUUGUGAUCCACUUGUUUUUAAAUGAAAUGUGAGUGAAAGUACCUUUAAUUUAUUAAGCAACCUUGGUUUUGUCUAGAAAAGGAGGCAUAGGAACCAGCUUUUCUCUGCACUGGUAAUUCUGCACUGCCUUAUUUUUAUUUCAAAAUCUAAUCUUCUAAUACUGAAAUUUCAUUUAUUAUACAUCAAGUGGUUGAAAUGUAGGCCUGUCUUGUUUGUCAAAAUAAGGAUCAGCAUCUUAGUUUUUAUCUAUGUCAAAUCUAGAUGGUUAACAGUGUGCAUGUAAACACAGUGUAAAUUUUAUCUCUGUAACAGUGACUCUUCUGGUUAGAAGCUCUUUAAAACAUCAUGUACAGUACUCCAGUAGAAAAACUGCCGAUGUAAAAUAUGCUUUUCAAGAAAAAGAGCUAACUUAAUUGUUUUUAUAUGAAAUCUGGGCAAAGUGAUUUCUCAUAUUUAUGCUAAAUUAGCAAAAUAUUUUUACUCCAUGUAGUAGCUGGAAAGGUUUUUUAUUUACUUGUUUCCACAAGAAGUCCUACAUGUUUUAUAUGACCUGCAUUGAAAAGUCUAGUUCUCUAGGGACUGGAUUCCAAACUUGAACGUAUUCCAUCUCCUGGGAAAGUGCACUCAUGUUGGUUAUCUGGCUCAGCAAUUCCACAGCCUCUGUUCCUCGCAGUCACAGACCACUCUAGUCUCUUUCUCUAAGCCUGAGUAGCCAGAUGAUCUUGCAUACUAAAAUUAUGGAGGUCUCAACAGUUAAGCAAGAUAUUUAAUUGGACUGCUGCUUUUAAACUGUUUGAAGAAGCAAAGGGAAAGAAAGUUCGUCUUAAGAUCUGUAUAUGGAAAUAAUUUUAAGCUUCAUGAACUACACAUUUCCUUAAUUUCUUUUUUUUAAGCAAAUUGUAACAUCAAAGAUGCCAAAGGGUAAUAUAAGCUACAAUAAUAUUCAACAGAACUUAACCUAGAUCUUAUGUUGUAAUAAUUUAUUCAAAUUAACUGUAUUCUUCUGUAUUUAUAUUUUCGGUAUUUAUUAUGAAUGAUAUGAAAUUUGAUGUAUUUAUUGUGGCUUAUUACUGCAGUGUAUAUAUUACAAAAAUGAGCAUUUUUAAGUCUUAACAUUAGUUUUUUUGUUAAUUAGUGGCACUUGUAUCAGCUGUAUUUUUAUUAUAUAUUGUACAAUAUAUAUUGUCCAUUUGUUUGCAAUGAAGUAAACCAGGUUUCUACAUUACAUCCUGGCUGCCAGUGCAUUGUGUGUCUCAUUUCUGCUACACAGUCACUAGAAAGCCUCUCUCAGCUAAGAGAGUCAGAAUUAGUACUGCACCUCCUCCCUGGCAUCUGCAGAGCCUCCAGAGGCACUGAAAUUUCAAGCAUUUCUCCCAUUUCUGAUAGUCUAAUAGCAUAAGGAGAAGCAGUUUGUGUGGAAUUUGUGUGUGUGUUUUUGUUUCAAAAUAUUUGUAUGCCAAUUAAAUUAAAUAUACAGAAAUGCCUUCUUAGGUAUAUCCAUUUGCCCUUUAAUGACACUACUGCCUACAAUUUUCUUUGGCCAGGAAAAUAGUGUACCUGAUUAAUCUGUGCCUAUAAUUUUCAUAAUAAGGUAAUGGAACAAUUGUUUUCAACAGCUGUUGAAAGAUUUUGCAACAGCUCUCUCUGGUGGACAAUUUGCAGUAAUUUUAUACAUCAGAUCAUUUCAAUGACAACAUUCAAAUACUGCUAAAUUCCAGAACAACUGCUUAUUUUGAAAACUG